CCUCCGGGGGGGGGCACCGGGGAAAAUUUUCCAAUGGGGGGGCAACUGAUGCCGAGACACCGCGUGAGGGGUAUGAAGCUCUUGGUUGUGUCCUCUUUUUUUUGGACGAAGCGUAAGUGACGGUACCUGCAGAACAAGGACCGGCCAACUACGUGCCAGCAGCCGCGGUAAGACGUAGGGCGCGAGCGUUGUCCGGAUUCAUUGGGCGUAACGAGCUCGUAGGCGGCUUGUCCUGUCCUCUGUGAAAUCCCGCGGGUCAACCGCGGGACUGCAGUCGAUAACGGCACGCUUUAGUUCGGUAAGGGAGACUGGAAUUCCUGGUGUAGCGGUGAAAUGCGCACAUAUCAGGAGGAACACCGGUGGCGAAGGCGGGUCUCUGGGCCGAUACUGACGCUGAGGAGCGAAAACGUGGGGAGCGAACAGGAUUAAAUACCCUGGUAGUCCACGCUGUAAACGUUGGGCGCUAGGUGUGGGGGACCUCUCCGGUUCUCUGUGCCGCAGCUAACCCAUUAAACGCCCCCCCUGGGGAGAACGGCCGCAAGGCUAAAAAUCUAAGGAAUUGACGGGGGGCCCGCACAAUCGGCGGAGCAUGCGGAUUAAUUCUAUGCAACGCGAAGAACCUUACCUGGGUUUGACAUCAUGCGAAAACUCGCAGAGAUGCGGGGUCCCUCCGCGCGGGUGACAGGUGGUGUAUGGGUGUCUUCACCUCGUGUCGUGAGAUGUUGGUGUUAAGUCUCGCACGAGCGCAACCCUCGUUCGAUGUUGCAGCCCGGUUGGCUGGGACACUUCGAAUACUGCCGGGGUCAACUCGCAGGAGGGUGGGGGGAGGACAAAAAGUCACUAUGAACCUUUAUGUCCACGGCUUCUUACAUGGUACAUUGAUGCUACAAAGGGUUGCGUCUCCCCUAUCUGGUUACCGAAUCCCUACAGCUGGUUUCUGUU
Molecule: ribosomal RNA, 942 nt
Filed under: uncultured bacterium
Lineage: Bacteria
Description: partial 16S ribosomal RNA
Rfam family: Bacterial small subunit ribosomal RNA
Source: RNAcentral